AGGUCAGUAGCUUAAUGGGUGAGCAGCGGUCUCCAAAAUCGCAGGUUGUGGGUUCAAGUCCCUCCUGGCCUG
Molecule: transfer RNA, 72 nt
Filed under: Candidatus Portiera aleyrodidarum (primary endosymbiont of Bemisia tabaci)
Lineage: Bacteria; Pseudomonadati; Pseudomonadota; Gammaproteobacteria; Johnevansiales (SeqCode); Johnevansiaceae (SeqCode)
Description: tRNA-Trp (CCA) (tRNA-Trp-CCA-1-1)
Rfam family: tRNA
About the family: Transfer RNA (tRNA) molecules are approximately 80 nucleotides in length. Their secondary structure includes four short double-helical elements and three loops (D, anti-codon, and T loops).
Source: RNAcentral